CCCUUAGAUGUUCUGGGCUGCACGCGCGCUACACUGAUGCGCUCAACGAGUUUUAACCUUGCCUGGAAAGGUUGGGUAAUCUUUUUAAAACGCAUCGUGAUGGGGAUAGAUUAUUGCAAUUAUUAAUCUUCAACGAGGAAUUCCUAGUAAGCGCGAGUCAUCAGCUCGUGCUGAUUACGUCCCUGCCCUUUGUACACACCGCCCGUCGCUCCUACCGAUUGAAUGAUCCGAUGAAUAUCAUGGAUUGAGGAUGUAAGCAGGUUCGCCUGUCUUCAUCUUCGAGAAGUGAAGUAAAUCUUAUCAUUUAGAGGAAGGAGAAGUCGUAACA
This 328-nucleotide ribosomal RNA is filed under the name uncultured eukaryote. Its description in RNAcentral is "partial 18S ribosomal RNA". It matches the Rfam family "Eukaryotic small subunit ribosomal RNA", at positions 1470 to 1796 of the family's 1831-position model. The record is from RNAcentral.